RNAcentral lists this ribosomal RNA (253 nucleotides) under uncultured bacterium. RNAcentral describes it as "partial 16S ribosomal RNA". It matches the Rfam family "Bacterial small subunit ribosomal RNA", at positions 524 to 776 of the family's 1533-position model. The record is from RNAcentral.
UACGAAGGGGGCUAGCGUUGCUCGGAAUCACUGGGCGUAAAGGGUGCGUAGGCGGGUCUUUAAGUCAGAGGUGAAAUCCUGGAGCUCAACUCCAGAACUGCCUUUGAUACUGAGGAUCUUGAGUUCGGGAGAGGUGAGUGGAACUGCGAGUGUAGAGGUGAAAUUCGUAGAUAUUCGGAAGAACACCAGUGGCGAAGGCGACUCACUGGCCCGUUACUGACGCUGAGGCGCGAAAGCGUGGGGAGCAAACAGG